RNAcentral lists this transfer RNA (72 nucleotides) under Quedenfeldtia trachyblepharus (Atlas day gecko). RNAcentral describes it as "tRNA-Leu". Lineage: Eukaryota; Metazoa; Chordata; Lepidosauria; Squamata; Sphaerodactylidae. The record is from RNAcentral.
ACCCUCAAAGGAUAACAGCCAUCCACUAACCUUAGGAGUUAGGACAUCUUGGUGCAACUCCAAGUGAGAGUA